Molecule: non-coding RNA, 304 nt
Organism: Hordeum vulgare subsp. vulgare (domesticated barley)
Lineage: Eukaryota; Viridiplantae; Streptophyta; Magnoliopsida; Poales; Poaceae
Source: Rfam
GCCGAGCUUAGUAGCGAGAGCUUGUAACCCGAGUGGGGGCAUCAAGGUGAUGUGGACGCUGUUGUAGUGUUGCGGACCUGGUUGAGGUGUGCUAUUGCUGGCCCGCCCGUUCCAAGUUGCGUAGUGAAUCGGUUGGGACCUAUGCGAAAGCUGGGCCUCACGGUUCAUAAUGUGGCAGGCACAGCGUGAGGCUGGCUUCACAGAGCAGCGAUAACUGCCCGCUUCCAACGGUGGAAGGAUAACGGGCCGCUGCACUCCUCGGCCGCUUGGGCCUCGCAACCUACUCCAACGAACCAUCACUUUU